UACGUAGGUGGCGAGCGUUGUCCGGAAUUAUUGGGCGUAAAGGGCGCGUAGGCGGCGCUUUAAGUCGGAUGUGAAAACCCCGGGCUCAACCUGGGACCUGCAUCCGAUACUGAAGUGCUAGAGUGCAGGAGAGGCAAGUGGAAUUCCUAGUGUAGCGGUGAAAUGCGUAGAUAUUAGGAGGAACACCAGUGGCGAAGGCGACUUGCUGGACUGUAACUGACGCUGAGGCGCGAAAGCGUGGGGAGCAAACAGG
RNAcentral lists this ribosomal RNA (253 nucleotides) under uncultured bacterium. RNAcentral describes it as "partial 16S ribosomal RNA". It matches the Rfam family "Bacterial small subunit ribosomal RNA", at positions 524 to 776 of the family's 1533-position model. The record is from RNAcentral.